CACAGGCAAUUCUCAGAUGGGUUGUGUGUCAUGAAAUCUGGACUACGGCUGUCAACCCCAGCUAGGACACAAUCUGGGAGCACACAAGAAGAGUGUGGAGAAAAAUGGAAGAUAUUCACAGAGUCAUGCCUGACACACAUUAAGUAUCCAAUAAGAAUUUAUUGAUCAGUGAAUGAAUGCAUGCAUGGAGAAUAACUGAUCUACACUCUAAGGAAACUGGGAGGAAUGGAGACUCCAUGGAGCAGAAAUGUUCUCCUCUUUAUACAUGACACUUCAAUACUCCAUUAAAUACAUGGGUUUCUGUGUUAGACUGAUUGAUGGUAAAGAUGACAAAAGCUUGAGCAGUCUGUUAGCUUGAGCUGAAAAAUGUGUAGCACUAACUGCCUUAAACAGUUAAAAAUAUAACUCUCUAGCUGUAGUAAAGGCUGUCAAGCUAAGAUUUGGGAUUAAUUGUUCACUGUCUAACAUGAUUUGUGAAUGACUAUAGGACCAUACCGAUUAAAUUGUACUUUCCACAAAACAGGCAGCACAUGCCUCCUACCUUGGAGAGACCCACAAUUUUGCAGAGUAGCAAACAUCUGUAAUCCAUUUGGAUGCACAGGUGACAACUCUUUUUGAGUGUUCAGGACCCUGGGACUUCUGGGAUAUGUGCUAUGUCAUAAACUUAAAUGAUGAAAAACCAGCGGGACUCCUUCAACCUUUAAUUGGAACCACUCAACGUGGCAAAGAAACUGAGCAACUCUUUUUUAUUUCAUUUAAUAUUUUCUCUUACAUUCACAAAUCAUUUAUCAGUAUCAUCUGAAAAUGAAAAAUGAUAAGUGAAGUGGUAUUUGGCACAAUACAUCCAGUUUGUUAUCCAGGGGAUGGUGUGUAUGUGCAAAAGUUCUAGCAAUGAAGUCAUACCCUGGAGAGGAAGCAAAAGGGGACUUUCUCUUCAGUUCUGGCUGAAUUCCCAGGUUUCAACCAAUGUGAGUCUACCGGAAUCAGUGAUAAUGUUUUCUGUCAUGGCUAUAAAAUACUUUCAGAGAAACAUAAAGUUUUUAUGAGAAGAAUAGUAAAAGAGAUGACUUCUUCUAUGCCUGGGGGUUAAUAUUUGUUCUUGUUGGCUCAUUUGAGAAUAGCAGAGGUUGAGUUGGAGAAAUUAAGACACAAAGGCUGGAGUUUCCCCUUGCCAGUAUUCAUUAUGAAUAGGAGCUUGAAGAUAGGCUCAAUUGCUGAAUAUUUAGGGGCCCUAAUACAUUCACAAGUCAUGGGUCCAAACAGCAGUAUUUGCUGGUUUUAUCUAAAUGCCAGUCUGCAUCAAGUGCUGGCCCCUCCCCCUUGCCUCUUCUCUUCUUUUUCAUUAGGAUGAUAGAAUUCUUUCUCUAAUAGGUUUCCAUAUUUCAAGUGUUAUUUAUUUAGAAUAGUUUAAUAUAAAAUGUCAGUGAGUUUACAGACCUUCCCGAAGAAUGGGAAUGUUAGGAUACUCAAACCACAUGCUGUCAAAAACUAUUUUAAGUUCUCUGUUUCAUCAAGUAAAUGCAGUUAGUUAAAUUGAAUUUGGAAGAUUCUCUCCACUUUGUGAUGAACAGAGAGUGAUUAUCAUACCUGUGAUACUCCUGACUUCCACAUUCUACAAGUAAAGUAGUCAUACUGAUCUUGAAGUUUAUUAGAGCUUUAAGCUGUCAGGUUAUUACUGUCAGUUUCAAGAAAAGAAAAAGUUACUGAUGUAAAAUUAAUUUAUUGAAUGGAAUUGUUUUGCCCUCAGGGAAUAACAUCACCAUUUAAUUUAAUU
Non-coding RNA from Heterocephalus glaber (naked mole-rat), 1774 nucleotides. Lineage: Eukaryota; Metazoa; Chordata; Mammalia; Rodentia; Bathyergidae. The record is from RefSeq and is a predicted model, not a curated record.